AGAGUUUGAUCAUGGCUCAGAAUCAACGCUGGCGGCGCGCCUAACACAUGCAAGUCGAACGAGAAAGCAGGAGCAAUCUUGUGAGUAAAGUGGCGUACGGGUGAGUAACACGUGGAUCAUCUACCCUCUUGUGGGGGAUAACUCUGGGAAACCGGAGCUAAUACCGCAUAAGUCCGAGAGGAGAAAGCAGCAAUGCGCAGGAGGAGGAGUCCGCGGCCGAUUAGCUAGUUGGUAGGGUAAAAGCCUACCAAGGCUACGAUCGGUAGCCGGCCUGAGAGGGCACACGGCCACACUGGCACUGAAACACGGGCCAGACUCCUACGGGAGGCAGCAGUGGGGAAUCUUGCACAAUGGGGGCAACCCUGAUGCAGCGACGCCGCGUGAGCGAUGAAGCCCUUCGGGGUGUAAAGCUCUUUCGGCAGGGAAGAUUAUGACGGUACCUGCAGAAGCAGCUGCGGCUAACUACGUGCCAGCAGCCGCGGUAAUACGUAGGCAGCGAGCGUUGUUCGGAGUUACUGGGCGUAAAGGGUGUGUAGGCGGUCUUCUAAGUCUGGUGUGAAUCUCCCGGCUCAACUGGGAGGGUGCGCCGGAAACUGGAAGGCUAGAGUGCGGGAUGGGAGAGUGGAAUUCCUGGUGUAGCGGUGAAAUGCGUAGAUAUCAGGAGGAACACCUGUGGUGUAGACGGCUCUCUGGACCGCAACUGACGCUGAGACACGAAAGCGUGGGUAGCAAACAGGAUUAGAUACCCUAGUAGUCC
RNAcentral lists this ribosomal RNA (757 nucleotides) under uncultured bacterium. RNAcentral describes it as "bacterial SSU rRNA". It matches the Rfam family "Bacterial small subunit ribosomal RNA", at positions 8 to 796 of the family's 1533-position model. The record is from RNAcentral.